Molecule: ribosomal RNA, 253 nt
Filed under: uncultured bacterium
Lineage: Bacteria
Description: partial 16S ribosomal RNA
Rfam family: Bacterial small subunit ribosomal RNA
Source: RNAcentral
UCCUACGGGGGGCAGCAGUGGGGAAUAUUGCACAAUGGGCGAAAGCCUGAUGCAGCGACGCCGCGUGAAGGAUGAAGUAUUUCGGUAUGUAAACUUCUAUCAGCAGGGAAGAAAAUGACGGUACCUGACUAAGAAGCCCCGGCUAACUACGUGCAAGCAGACGCGGUAAUACGUAGGGGGCAAGCGUUAUCCGGAUUUACUGGGUGUAAAGGGAGCGUAGACGGCGAUGCAAGCCAGAUGUGAAAGCCCGGGG